GAUCAUGGCUCAGGAUGAACGCUAGCUACAGGCUUAACACAUGCAAGUCUAGUGGCAGCAUGGUCUUAGCUUGCUAAGGCCGAUGGCGACCGGCGCACGGGUGAGUAACACGUAUCCAACCUGCCGUCUACUCUUGGACAGCCUUCUGAAAGGAAGAUUAAUACAAGAUGGCAUCAUGAGUCCGCAUGUUUACAUGAUUAAAGGUAUUCCGGUAGACGAUGGGG
Molecule: ribosomal RNA, 224 nt
Filed under: uncultured bacterium
Lineage: Bacteria
Description: partial 16S ribosomal RNA
Rfam family: Bacterial small subunit ribosomal RNA
Source: RNAcentral